Long non-coding RNA from Perca fluviatilis (European perch), 226 nucleotides. RefSeq lists it as uncharacterized. The record is from RefSeq and is a predicted model, not a curated record. The transcript is spliced from 2 exons. NCBI's taxonomy places the organism in Eukaryota, Metazoa, Chordata, Actinopteri, Perciformes, Percidae.
UGAUUGAGCAACACAGAAGAGAGACAGAAGACAGGAGUAAAUGGCAACAUAUGGUGGUAUAAGAGAACGACAGGACUGGGGAGCAAAGCCUCCUGCGGUUUAGGGCAUACCUCUGGGCGCACUGACGGAUUCCAUGGGGAAAUUCCAGUUCCCGCUACCACAACCGUCCCCUCUCAGGCCUUGGGUUUUUAUUAUUUUUAUCUAAAUAAAUGUCUAAAGUUUUAAA